Molecule: transfer RNA, 48 nt
Filed under: Hamamelistes similibetulae
Lineage: Eukaryota; Metazoa; Arthropoda; Insecta; Hemiptera; Hormaphididae
Description: partial tRNA-Leu
Source: RNAcentral
AUGCAAUGAACUUAAAAUUCAUUAAUAAAGAAAAAUCUUUUUUUAGAA